RNAcentral lists this ribosomal RNA (1455 nucleotides) under uncultured organism. RNAcentral describes it as "SSU rRNA". It matches the Rfam family "Bacterial small subunit ribosomal RNA". The record is from RNAcentral.
UUGACGAACGCUGGCGGCGUGCCUAAUACAUGCAAGUAGAACGCUGAAGAGAGGAGCUUGCUCUUCUUGGAUGAGUUGCGAACGGGUGAGUAACGCGUAGGUAACCUGCCUUGUAGCGGGGGAUAACUAUUGGAAACGAUAGCUAAUACCGCAUAACAAUGGAUGACACAUGUCAUUUAUUUGAAAGGGGCAAAUGCUCCACUACAAGAUGGACCUGCGUUGUAUUAGCUAGUAGGUGAGGUAACGGCUCACCUAGGCGACGAUACAUAGCCGACCUGAGAGGGUGAUCGGCCACACUGGGACUGAGACACGGCCCAGACUCCUACGGGAGGCAGCAGUAGGGAAUCUUCGGCAAUGGGGGCAACCCUGACCGAGCAACGCCGCGUGAGUGAAGAAGGUUUUCGGAUCGUAAAGCUCUGUUGUAAGUCAAGAACGAGUGUGAGAGUGGAAAGUUCACACUGUGACGGUAGCUUACCAGAAAGGGACGGCUAACUACGUGCCAGCAGCCGCGGUAAUACGUAGGUCCCGAGCGUUGUCCGGAUUUAUUGGGCGUAAAGCGAGCGCAGGCGGUUUGAUAAGUCUGAAGUUAAAGGCUGUGGCUCAACCAUAGUUCGCUUUGGAAACUGUCAAACUUGAGUGCAGAAGGGGAGAGUGGAAUUCCAUGUGUAGCGGUGAAAUGCGUAGAUAUAUGGAGGAACACCGGUGGCGAAAGCGGCUCUCUGGUCUGUAACUGACGCUGAGGCUCGAAAGCGUGGGGAGCGAACAGGAUUAGAUACCCUGGUAGUCCACGCCGUAAACGAUGAGUGCUAGGUGUUGGAUCCUUUCCGGGAUUCAGUGCCGCAGCUAACGCAUUAAGCACUCCGCCUGGGGAGUACGACCGCAAGGUUGAAACUCAAAGGAAUUGACGGGGGCCCGCACAAGCGGUGGAGCAUGUGGUUUAAUUCGAAGCAACGCGAAGAACCUUACCAGGUCUUGACAUCCCGAUGCUAUUUCUAGAGAUAGAAAGUUACUUCGGUACAUCGGUGACAGGUGGUGCAUGGUUGUCGUCAGCUCGUGUCGUGAGAUGUUGGGUUAAGUCCCGCAACGAGCGCAACCCCUAUUGUUAGUUGCCAUCAUUCAGUUGGGCACUCUAGCGAGACUGCCGGUAAUAAACCGGAGGAAGGUGGGGAUGACGUCAAAUCAUCAUGCCCCUUAUGACCUGGGCUACACACGUGCUACAAUGGUUGGUACAACGAGUUGCGAGUCGGUGACGGCAAGCUAAUCUCUUAAAGCCAAUCUCAGUUCGGAUUGUAGGCUGCAACUCGCCUACAUGAAGUCGGAAUCGCUAGUAAUCGCGGAUCAGCACGCCGCGGUGAAUACGUUCCCGGGCCUUGUACACACCGCCCGUCACGCCACGAGAGUUUGUAACACCCGAAGUCGGUGAGGUAACCUUUUGGAGCCAGCCGCCUAAGGUGG